RNAcentral lists this long non-coding RNA (350 nucleotides) under Chrysemys picta bellii (western painted turtle). Its description in RNAcentral is "lncRNA (ENSCPBG00000004151.1)". Lineage: Eukaryota; Metazoa; Chordata; Testudines; Emydidae. The record is from RNAcentral.
ACAUCUCCAACACCCACAGAAAGUAACCGGAGAAUGGGAAACAUUGCAGCCAUGGCUAUCUGGGGGGUCUGUCCAAGGACAGGUCUACAAUCCGUGACAUGGCUGUCAGUGAUGAUGACUGCCUCCUGUGUGCAGCUGACCACAUGGGUUACAUCUAUAUUGGAGCAUCACAAAAUAUGCUCUUCGGGGACCAGAGGAGGAACCACCAGCUUGGUUGCCCCAGUGAGUGAACACCAGCUGCUUCUCACCUCAUCUGUGGACUGCACGGUGAAGCUGUGGCGCUUAGAAGGGGAAUAUGUAGGUACAUUUGGUCAAAAAGAUCUGUGGAACAUCAAGGAUAAAAUGUCCUG